CCACCUCUGGUUACACAUACAACUCAUGGAGUAGAAAUUAUAUGUAGUGGGUGUUCAUGUGGAAAAUCUGUAUGGCCAAAGCAUCCUGACAAACCACAGUUCCUGCUGGACAGAGAAGUUUUUCCCAACAGCUGGACACUCUGCAUUGCUCCCAUGUGUGCUCCUUACCUCCUGCAAGGUUGGGCUGUUCACAGACUUUGUAGAAUAAGGACACUCAAUUGCCUGUGCUACUUGCUGUCUGAGGGUCUUCCCACCAAGAUCUGAUGGGAUCUAAUAGGUAUUCCCAGGUUUGCUAUGAAGAAAACCAAGUAGCAGUCCAAUUGCACCAAAAGAACAACUUCAAGUAGUGCAACUGGACUGUCAAAGAGGAUAAAGAGAGGGGACAAAUGUUCAGCAUGAUCAAAACAUGUGAGGUUUCUCAUGCUCUUUCACCUUUUUUCUUUUUCUGAAAAUGUUUCAUUCUGUGGUUCCCCCAUUCUUCUUGUUCAGACCUGUGUAAUUUAAACACUGAUGCAGACCAUGUUUGGUACUCAGCAUGGUUACAAACAUCAUGAUCAAACAGUGGUUUUGAAGUUUGUCAAAAAGCCUUUGGCGGCUUUUUUCCUUAGCUUUACAAAGUUGUAGUCCAUGACAACUCAUUGGAGACUGAGGUUUUUGCCCAAGUCCCAGACGAUAUUACAGUUCCACCCAGGGAAGCUUUGAGAUUGGUUACCUCAUCUUUUCUACUUUCUUUCUGUUAACACCAACUCCCUUAAGAUGCUGUUGAUUUCUUACCCUUCCCAUUGCUGCAGUUUCUGGGCACCAAAUUCAAUGGACGAUUAUGGGAGAACAGUAUAAUGAGGAGUACUGGUCACUGCAAGUGCCUCUCCAUUGCAUUUUUGUUUGCCCAGUCGUUCAGGUGAGGAUAAAGGCAUUAGAGUAUGGAAAAGAGACAUGGAUUCUGCUUCCAUCUGUCACCAAAACAUCACAUGGUUUUGGGGAAAUCACCCCACUCUCUUCCCUGCCCUCUUACUGCUUACAAAAUGGGAGUGCUGGGCUCCAUUUUCCUUUGGGGGUAUGUUGAAAACCACAGACAUUGGUUUCUCUAUGAGAGCCCUGGAUGAACAGAUUGUCUGCUUUGCACUGUGGAAUGUGAUGGUCUUAAAUAGUUCUGCUUAUUAAGAAAAAAUGAAAAGAAGAAAGAAAGGUAAAGGGAGGUCACACUUCACAGCAACCUUCUCCACUGAAGUGUCUGUUCUCCAAGGUUUACUUCCAGCACACUGCAGCUACUUAUAGAAAAGAUCCUGCUGGUGUAAUUUGAAAAUCUGCUUUUGAAACAACUGUAAUAUAUGAUGUUAAUAUGUGGGUAGCUCUAACCAGUCUCAGAGUAUUUAUAUACUCCCAAAGUGGGUGUGCUUUUGACUAGUUAUAAUGUACUUAUGGAAUGAAUUUGUCAUCCAAGAAGAUAUGUUUGUGAGAGUGGUGCUUGAAAUGACUAUCUUCCAAGUCAUGAUUCAAAUUAUGGUCCUUUGCCACAAAGAAUUUCUGUUGUCCCUUUCCUCCCUGACUCAUUCCCUGCUGAAACUUGAGUUCACCACCGAGUUGGUCUGUAAGACCCCUGUCAAGGAUAGGAUAUACAAGUGCAUUAAGUACUUUAUAAAGCAGCUCAAUUUCACGAACAAGUUCUCAUAAAGUAGUUCAGGCAAAAACAGUGUGUAGAAUAAUGUUAGCAAAUGUGAAGAUUGUAAAGUUCAAAGUUAGGUUUCCAAAAGUGGUUGGAGGAUGGGAUUAGGCUAUGGUUCUGUUGAAUAAUUCUUCCUCUUAGUAAAGUCCUAGAAGAAAUAGAGGUGGAUUUGAGGGAUCCCUUUUUUUAUUUUAAGAUCCAUUUGUUGUUUUGCUGCAGCUUAAACCGUGAAAAAACACUUAUGCCACCAAUACUUUAAAUACAUUGUUCAUAGUGAUAAAUAGUAAUGUUUUUUUCAUAUUUCAUCACAUCUCUUUUGUUGCGUACAUGGCCUUUUUUAUUUUUUAAGCAACUACAAUAGACAGCUUUUAUGUUUCCCUAUAUUCUUUGGUUCCCAGAUUACCACACCAGUUUGCCAAGCAUUCAAAAAAACAAUCACUGCUUAAGCAUUCAGUGUAUUUUAUACCUGCUUCAGUUUCUCUUGGUAUUCUUUUCUCCUUUCUCAGUUUUGAAGUAAAUUAUUUUUUUUUCUAUUUUCUUUUUUUCUUUUUUUUUUUUUCUUUUCUUUUUUCAUCCCUAAUAUGCAUUUUAUGACUUUGUCCUUUCUUUUGGCAAGUUAGCAGUAGCUGGAUUUUAAAACACUUUUGCUUGAGUGUUAAUUGUCCUUCACAAAUCAGCCAAGGUCUCUGGCUUUUGAAUUAAUGCAAUCUGCAGAAACAAGCACAGGGCCAGGAGUAAAAAUCAAAGCAAAAUUCCCUUGACAUGAUAAUUGUCUAAUAUACAAGCAGGUGUAAUAUUUUGAGCAUAAGUCAGUGGUGUGGCCUAUUAGAUAUUGAUUCAAGUGGAGGCUUAAAAUGUGUAAAGAUUCAAAUCUUUCUUGAAAAAAAUCAAAUUUUUCUUUGUUGUUCAAAUACCUGCAUCUCAAGCAUAUCUUGGUUUAUGCUUUUGCUUAUUUGUAGCAUAAUUACAACAUAAAGGCCCAGUCUUGGAGCUGG
Pseudopipra pipra is the source of this 2658-nucleotide long non-coding RNA. RefSeq lists it as uncharacterized. The transcript is spliced from 3 exons. Lineage: Eukaryota; Metazoa; Chordata; Aves; Passeriformes; Pipridae. The record is from RefSeq and is a predicted model, not a curated record.